AAAAAGAUAAGCUAAGCAAGCUAUUGGGUUCAUACCCCAUAUAUAGAAGUAAAAUCUUCUUCUUUUUA
Molecule: transfer RNA, 68 nt
Filed under: Ornebius bimaculatus
Lineage: Eukaryota; Metazoa; Arthropoda; Insecta; Orthoptera; Mogoplistidae
Description: tRNA-Met
Rfam family: tRNA
About the family: Transfer RNA (tRNA) molecules are approximately 80 nucleotides in length. Their secondary structure includes four short double-helical elements and three loops (D, anti-codon, and T loops).
Source: RNAcentral